CACGUAGGGGGCAAGCGUUGUCCGGAUUUAUUGGGCGUAAAGAGCUCGUAGGCGGCUUGGCAAGUCGGGUGUGAAACCUCCAGGCUCAACCUGGAGACGCCACUCGAUACUGCCAUGGCUAGAGUCCGGUAGGGGACCACGGAAUUCCUGGUGUAGCGGUGAAAUGCGCAGAUAUCAGGAGGAACACCGGUGGCGAAGGCGGUGGUCUGGGCCGGCACUGACGCUGAGGAGCGAAAGCGUGGGUAGCAAACAGG
This 254-nucleotide ribosomal RNA is filed under the name uncultured bacterium. RNAcentral describes it as "partial 16S ribosomal RNA". It matches the Rfam family "Bacterial small subunit ribosomal RNA", at positions 524 to 776 of the family's 1533-position model. The record is from RNAcentral.